UCUGGUUGAUCCUGCCAGUAGUCAUAUGCUUGUCUUAAAGAUUAAGCCAUGCAUGUCUAAGUAUAAACACUUGUACUUGUGAAACUGCGAAUGGCUCAUUAAAUCAGUUAUAAUUUAUUUGAUGGUCUCUUUACUACUUGGAUAACCGUGGUAAAUCUAGAGCUAAUACAUGCAUAAAAUCCUGACUAGUGCGCUUUAUAGUACUGGGAGGGAUGUAUUUAUUAGAUUCAAAAGCCAAUGCCAUCUUCUUCGGGGGGUGGAAAUUUUUUCAAUGGUGAUUCAUGAUAACUUUACGAAUCGCACGGCCUUUUGUGCUGGCGAUAGUUCAUUCAAAUAUCUGCCCUAUCAACUUUCGAUGGUAGUAUAGAGGACUACCACGGUGGUAACGGGUAACGGAGAAUCAGGGUUUGACUCCGGAGAAGGAGCCUGAGAAACGGCUACUACUUCCAAGGAAGGCAGCAGGCGCGCAAAUUACCCAAUCCCGACACGGGGAGGUAGUGACAAAAAAUAACAAUACCGGUCUUAUUAAAGUCUGGUAAUUGGAAUGAGUACAAUCUAAACCUUUUAACGAGUAUCAAUUGGAGGGCAAGUCUGGUGCCAGCAGCCGCGGUAAUUCCAGCUCCAAUAGCAUAUAUUAAAGUUGUUGCAGUUAAAAAGCUCGUAGUUGGAUUUCGAAGUUAACAUAUCGCGACCCGCCUUUUUAGGGUGUGUUUGUUGUGGUAUGUUCUUCUCCUUACUAGACUUUCACUAUUGCACUUAAUUGAGUGAUAGUUUUGCUUCGAUUCGUCGGGGUGAGUGGUGGGCGGACCUAUUGGGUUAGGAUUGUGGAUGAUGCGCUUCUUCGGAGGAGUCGUGUUCUGCCUGAUUCAGUAACCGUUCAUUAGAAUUCUCGUUCUUUUACUUUGAGUAAAUUAGAGUGUUCAAGGCAAGCAAAAUUACUUUUUCUGCAAUGAAUACUAUUAGCAUGGGAUAAUGGAACAGGACACGUAUUCUAGUUUUUCGUUGGUUUCUAGAAUUUUUAUUAUUAGUGUAAUGAUUAAGAGGGACAGUUGGGGGCAUUCGUAUUUCAUUGUCAGAGGUGAAAUUCUUGGAUUUAUGAAAGACGAACUUCUGCGAAAGCAUUUGUCAAAGAUGUUUUCAUUAAUCAAGAACGAAAGUUAGGGGAUCGAAGACGAUCAGAUACCGUCGUAGUCUUAACCAUAAACUAUGCCGACCAGGGAUUGGAAGACGUCUUAUCCGGUUUUUUAAGCCGGAAAACUCCUUCAGCACCUUACGAGAAAUCAUAAGUCUUUGGGUUCUGGGGGGAGUAUGGUCGCAAGGCUGAAACUUAAAGGAAUUGACGGAAGGGCACCACCAGGAGUGGAGCCUGCGGCUUAAUUUGACCCAACACGGGAAAACUUACCAGGUCCAGACACAGUUAGGAUUGACAGAUUGAGAGCUCUUUCUUGAUUCUGUGGGUGGUGGUGCAUGGCCGUUCUUAGUUGGUGGAGUGAUUUGUCUGGUUAAUUCCGAUAACGAACGAGACCUCAGCCUGCUAAUUAGUGAUGCGAAUGAUUACAC
RNAcentral lists this ribosomal RNA (1560 nucleotides) under metagenome. RNAcentral's name for it is "SSU rRNA". It matches the Rfam family "Eukaryotic small subunit ribosomal RNA", at positions 1 to 1376 of the family's 1831-position model. The record is from RNAcentral.